Long non-coding RNA from Dermochelys coriacea (leatherback sea turtle), 572 nucleotides. RefSeq lists it as uncharacterized. Lineage: Eukaryota; Metazoa; Chordata; Testudines; Dermochelyidae. The transcript has 3 exons. The record is from RefSeq and is a predicted model, not a curated record.
CCAGAGAUUUCUCUGUCCCCUUGUCUACAAACUGCCAUUAGCUGGCGUAGCCAUUCCAGAAAAGCUCCUCCUGGGCUGACGGUAUUCAGAAUAAAGCCACUUUUAUCCCAUCAUAAUUACUCUGCUUGAGGAGCAGCCCUGUUACUCUGUGUCCGCAAAAAGAAAAGGAGGACUUGUGGCACCUUAGAGACUAACACAUUUACAAGUUCAUCGCCCAGCCACCAAAAUUCAGCCACUUCUAGGAUGGAACAGCUGACGUUGAACAGUUUACAACACAACAUAGCAGUUAGUGGAAGCUCAGAUGCUCAUGAAAUCAUGUGACUCCAGGAACUUGGGCUUUGAGGAAAAAACACCAAGUAUCAUGGAACCUCUGCAAAAAUCAUGAGAGUUAGCAACACUAAUAAGCACACAGCAAAUAUGUAACUAAUAUUAACUCUUUGUACAAUGCGGCAGUAGAGAAUCCUGCUAUAUCCAUCCAGGAAGUGCACCUGUAGUUUACAGAUGACCUAACGCACUGUGUAUAAGAUAACAUACCAUGUUUAUCUUUUAUUAAUAAAGUACUGUAAACACUG